GGGGCGGCGCUAAGAGGGCGGGGCCUGGCAGGAGCUGCCACCCGCGGCCUGUGGGGAGCCCAAUGCCCGCCCGCCCGUCUCAGGCUCUGCGGGGCUCGGCCCGGCUCCCGGGCGGCGGGAGGGCGACAGGCCCGGGCGAUACGGGCCCGUGUCAGACCAAGUCCCUGACACGCCGGUGGGUGUGAACCCGCCCCGGCCGCCCCCUGCCCGCGAGCCGCUCCCGGCCGGGUCCGAGCUCCCAAGGGCCGAGGCAGUGGAGCCCGGUGCUGGGGGUUGUUUGGAGAAGACAACACCACCUCUGAUCUGGACAAUCGUUACUACAAAAUAUAAAGAGAGCUCUUUGCCACAAGUUGUGCUGGGAUCUGGAUUUGGUAGAAAGCAUUUUGGUUUGAAAAACCAUUUGUCACUCAGAAUAGGUUAAUAGGCUACGGCCAUGAUUUUGCUUAUGAUGUGGCCAUGAAGAAAGUAGUAGGUUCCUUUGUCUGCCUGUAUUGUAUUUGCAGCUCUCCCAAUAUGUCUGUGACUUUUAGUAACAUGCUGAUUUCUCCGUCUUCCAGAUCAUCAGUGAAAAUGUUAAACAAAAUGAGACCUGACACUCGUCCUGGUAGAAUCACUAGAUAUCUGCUUCAUACAUGACCAUUUAUUAUUUUCCUGUGUUUAUAGUUCUGUCAGUUUUCAAUCUUCAUGAUUGAAAUAUCCAAACUGAUUCCAAUUAUUUUUCUAUUAAGAUUUUAUGAGGCACAGUAUCAAAUUCUUUACUAAAAUCCAAAUAUAUUACAUCAUAUCUGAUCCCUUCACCCAUUAAUUUUUGCAAUUCUGUCAGAAAAGAGCAAUCACAUUUGUCUGGCAAGAUUUAUAUUUUAUAACCUCCCAGUGCUGUUUAUGUCUCAUGACUGUUACCUUUCAGAUGUUUAGUGAUUUUUUUAAAAUGAAAAUAUCUUUUAUUAUUUCACUAAGGACUUACAGGAGGGUAAUUGGGGGAUCUCUUUUCCUUCUUGUUUUGAAGACUGGUACUGAGUUCGUUGUAUUCCAGUCUUCCGGUACCUCUCCACUUCAUGAUCUAUUAAAAAAAUUGACAAAAUGUUUAUGUUCAUCCUUUAACAGUUUAUAAAACAUGUAAUCUGAAUUUGCUAACUUCACAUUGUAAAUUUACAAGUAUCCCCCCAUACCUGCUAUUUAUCAAUAGGUGUUUUUACAAAGACUUCCUAAUUUUCAAAACUCAUUUUCUCAUUCUAGGUUUUAAAAUAUUCUGCAUAUCACUGUCAUUUUCAAGAGUUUAUUAAACUGUUUUUAUCAAGGAUGUGUUCUUGUCUCCUUUGGUUUCUCUUCAGAUUUUUGGUAUUAGCUUCUCUGUUUGUCACUUCUGUUGCUAUCCAGUAGGUAUCCCCAUUCAGGCCUUAGCUUAUUUUAUCUCAUACUUACUUUUAUUGUCCAGGAUCAGGCCCAUUAGCUAAGCUGCGUCAGAGUCCCAUGACUGGAACAGAAUGAGUUGCUACAAGUCAUAGUUGAAGGACAUUGACAAAUCCGUAUGGCUGUUGCAGUCAGGACUGAACUGUAUUGGGUUUAGGAUUAUAAUACGAUAGGGUGGUCUGAAUCAGGAUUAAGGAAUGUCACCAGACUUUGAUAGGAGAAGCUUGCAGAGCACUUGCCUGCUUUGCAUCUGGGUUUGGCCAUUGGUACAAGUCUUUCCCUGCCAAGAACUUUGAUGGAGGAGUAGGGUAUGUUAUUGGAUUUGGUUAAUUAUUGGGUUUGUCUUGUAAAUCUCUGAUACUAUUUCCUAAUGAAGUAUUUAGCUCUGUAGUGUAUUAACCUGUUAGCAGUACAACAGCUAACUGCAAUGCAGUGGAACACAACUAAAUCUGUUGUAUUCAAAACAAUACAUAUGUGGUGUUAUUUGUCAAUAUGGAUCUUGGAUUUGCAGCUUGCAUUACUUGCUGGUGGAAUAUGUGAGAGCUAGGACCUUUUUUUAAGGGUAAAAGCUCUUUUGAGUGCAACAGUUUAUACAAAGCAUGUAGAGGCAUAUUGAUUCCUACUCUACAGCUACACGGAAAGCUAGGUAGAAAUAUUUAGGAGCAUAAUUUUUGCUUUGCCUAUUAGAAGAGUUACAUAGUCCUUUACAAAUUACAUUUGAAAGGUUCAGUUUUGUGUGAAAAACAACUUGUUCUGGUUGGUAGUAUUUAACAGUUAAAAUGGAUUAAAAUACUAACUCAGGAUUAUUUUCGUUUUUUUCUUUUUAGAUAAAUUAAGUUUUAAUGAUAGGUUUUGUCCAGAAUCAUUUGUCUUUAGCCACAUUACUGGAGUGUACAUCCAGUUUCUGAAAGCUGCAAAAUUGGCCAUUAGUCUGUACAAACACAGCAUAAGGGGUUUUUAGGCUUUGUGGAAGGACACUGAACACAAAACUAUGAUUUAGCAACAAUGGGCUGUUUGCUCUUCUCACUGAAAAGCUGAAGCUGAAAAAAAAAAAAGCAGGCUUGAAUCCUUUGGUCUUUAA
Molecule: non-coding RNA, 2491 nt
Organism: Chrysemys picta bellii (western painted turtle)
Lineage: Eukaryota; Metazoa; Chordata; Testudines; Emydidae
Source: RefSeq, a predicted model, not a curated record